RNAcentral lists this ribosomal RNA (324 nucleotides) under uncultured eukaryote. Its description in RNAcentral is "partial 18S ribosomal RNA". It matches the Rfam family "Eukaryotic small subunit ribosomal RNA", at positions 1470 to 1796 of the family's 1831-position model. The record is from RNAcentral.
CCCUUAGAUGUCCUGGGCUGCACGCGCGCUACACUGAUGUGUCCAGUAAGCACCUAACCUCUUCCGAAAGGAACGGGUAACCUUUGCAAAGCACAUCGUGAUGGGGAUAGAUUAUUGCAAUUAUUAGUCUUGAACGAGGAAUUCCUAGUAAGCACAAGUCAUCAGCUUGUGUUGAUUACGUCCCUGCCCUUUGUACACACCGCCCGUCGCUCCUACCGAUUGAAUGUUCCGGUGAGCUCUUCGGACUGCGCGGUCUGCAGUUUCUGGGUUCCGUGCGGAAAGUUGCGCAAACCUUAACAUUUAGAGGAAGGAGAAGUCGUAACA